ACAAGGUUGUAUUUAAAUAGAUGCUGUCACAAUGCUGGUAUGCAUUUGGACUUCAUGCAAAGAUUUAGAAUGAGUACAAUUUUAUUUUAUAUUUUAGAAUGAGUUCAGUAUUGUUCCAAGUUGCAGAUAUAUUCAGGUUUUUUAUUUAUUAUUGUUUUUGUUUUGGGAGCAGGAUAAUCUUAUCCCUGUAACAAAUUUAUACAAGCUUAUACAGCAACCGUGUUUAGUUUGCCCACCUGAAAUAUGUUUUUUUUUCCUUUCUUUUUUUUUUAGAGAGAGAAUUUUUUAAUAUUUAUUGUUUAGUUUUUCGGCAGACACAACAUCUUUGUUUGUAUGUGGUGCUGAGGAUUGAACCCGGGCCGCACGCAUGCUAGGCGAGCGCCCUACCACUUGAGCCACAUCCCCAGCCCCCAAAAUAUGUUUUCUUUAUUGCUUUCUGUUCACUGCCCCAAGAUUAUAUAAGAACUACUUUUUAUUGUAUUGCUCUUCUGCUUGUUACUUGUGACUUUUUUAUGUACAUAUUAAAGAUUUGUCAUAUCCUAUCAGAGUGCUAGAGUCAGACUCCAUAUUUUACCUCUCCAUCUUUGUUUUCUUCUAUUUUGGAAUAUUAGUCUUCCAUUCUGGUCAGACCUGUCUCCCUUUACAUGUGCUUUACUACUACUACAGAGCUCUUUUUCACCUAUUGCAGUCUUUAAUUUGUACCCAUCAGUUGUUCCCAACCAGUGCUUUUCCUAACCAUUUCUGUUCCACAAUAAUCUUAAAUUACCCUACCACCUAGAAUUUCUGUUUAACAUUUAAUACCCUGCAUGCCUGGAAAGUUCAAUAUGUUUUUGUGUAUAUUAUUUCAUUAAAAAUCUCAUAAUCACCUAUUUUAUGGAGCAAAAACCUGGGGGACUCAUCAAGUUGUGAUUUACCCAGGAUGUUUGCCAUAGUGUCACUUUUUUUUUUUUUUAAUUGUUGUCAAUCAUUUUGGCCUACUAUCUUUUUUUUUUAAUUUGUCUCAGCAGUAUUUAACAAUAAAAAUGAAGCACUGCCUCUAAUAAGUCAUGUUUUUAUUUUUAUUUCCAAGCUCCCUGUUUAUGUACUUAUAAGUUUGACCCGGUUCUUACUUUAGAUUUUGUGCAGUUUUAUAGUAUAUUCUAAAUAAUGAAACACUAGCAUUCUCAAUGAGGCAUCGUGAAUUCAUACCUCACAAUGGCAAAGAUACUUUGAUUUCAAGAGGCAGGAAUGUAGUGAGAAACUGUACUGUACACCAGAAUCCCUUGGUGUGAAUCCAGGUCUGGUACUUAACAGUGACUGCUUUCCUACCACAUCAUCAUCUUUGAAUAGUUACAACAAAUUUAUUGGUCUGCAAAGAAUUCUUACUUAGCCCUUUCCAGAAAGUUUAUCAAGUUCUGAGCCUGAUGAGCCUUUUAUUUAUUUAUUUGAUUGGGAAAAUAGAGAUUUGGAAUAGAUUUGGAGUUGGAAUAGGAAGUAAGAGCUAACUUUUGAACACGGUAGAUCUGAGUUGUGUAUUAGAUAUUCAGUUGUAAUUCCUCUUGUGAUAUAUGUAGUAAUUAAUAAUUAAUGUAAUUAAAUGUUUUCUGAUAUUUUUAUGAGUUCUAUUAAAGUUGUUUACAUGUUCACUAACUGUAUAAAUAUUAUUCUCAGUGAAUUGUGAUAUUUGUUUUAAAAUUGUUUGUCUUGCCUCCCCAAGAAGUAUUAGACUUUGUGCAAAGAACUGUUCUAAUUCUGUGGUAUAUUUUUAUUUGUUGAAUAAUUUCAUUUAAGAGAAAUCACAUAAGAGAUAAAUAAAGAAGCUAACUAUGAAUAUGGGAUCUAGUGAAUAAAUUUCAAAUUAAGAAUAUGGCAUCCUGUUCUUGGUUGGAGAGAUCUUAUAUAUCCCCAAAUUGUCUGUAUUGAGUGAGCUGCCACAGAGGAAUGGUAAAGUUUGCUUUCAAGAGCCAGUUUUUUAUUACAUUUUGUGGAUAUGGGGUUUGAACGCAGGGCUUCAUGGGAAGUACCCCUACCUUUUUUUUUUUUUUUAGUUGAAGAUAGACAUAAAUAUCUUUUUAAUUUUUAUGUGCUGCUGAGGAUUGAACCCAGUGCCUCACACUUGGGAGGCUAUCCCUCUACCACUGAGCUACAGCCUCAACUAGUCUUUUAAAAAAACUUUUAUCUUCUGAACAUUUCUCAACUUUUAUUUUACUUCAGGUGAACUACAGAAAGCCAUUGACUUGUU
RNAcentral lists this long non-coding RNA (2221 nucleotides) under Marmota monax (woodchuck). Lineage: Eukaryota; Metazoa; Chordata; Mammalia; Rodentia; Sciuridae. The record is from RNAcentral.